CCCUAUUGAGAAAGAGAUCAGAAUGAUGACACGGCCCUACUGAAAAAGAGAAAUUAUAUGGGUAGGGUCGGAAUAAUGACACGAUCCUACUAGAAAAUAGAAAUUUUAUGGAUAGGGUUGGAAUGAUGGCACAACCCUACACAAAUAAGAAAGUAGACACCAAAAAGAAUGGUGCUAUGCAAAUCAAAAAUGAAAAAGUAGUCACCGAAAAGAUGGCACAGUGAGAUAUGAGAAAGUAGUCACUAGAAUGAUGCACGGUGCUACACAAAUAAGAUAUGAAAAAA
Molecule: long non-coding RNA, 284 nt
Filed under: Solanum tuberosum (potato)
Lineage: Eukaryota; Viridiplantae; Streptophyta; Magnoliopsida; Solanales; Solanaceae
Description: long non-coding RNA (STUB_LNC002502)
Source: RNAcentral